GUGGGGAAUAUUGGGCAAUGGACGCAAGUCUGACCCAGCAACGCCGCGUGAAGGAAGAAGGCUUUCGGGUUGUAAACUUCUUUUAAGGGGGAAGAGUAGAAGACGGUACCCCUUGAAUAAGCCACGGCUAACUACGUGCCAGCAGCCGCGGUAAUACGUAGGUGGCAAGCGUUGUCCGGAUUUACUGGGUGUAAAGGGCGUGCAGCCGGGCAGACAAGUCAGAUGUGAAAUCCUGAGGCUCAACCUCAGGCCUGCAUUUGGAACUGUAUGUCUUGAGUAUCGGAGAGGUAAUCGGAAUUCCUAGUGUGGCGGUGAAAUGCGUAGAUAGUAGGAAGAACACCGGUGGCGAAGGCGGAUUACUGGACGACAACUGACGGUGAGGCGCGAAAGCGUGGGGAGCAAACAGGAUUAGAAACCCUAGUAGUCC
RNAcentral lists this ribosomal RNA (427 nucleotides) under uncultured bacterium. RNAcentral describes it as "partial 16S ribosomal RNA". It matches the Rfam family "Bacterial small subunit ribosomal RNA", at positions 354 to 796 of the family's 1533-position model. The record is from RNAcentral.